AGCAAUAACAUCCAAAACAUAUUUAAUAUUAUUAUAUAUUGAACAUGCCUUAAACAUUUCUAUCAUUGUUAACUCUUCUGGCUAUUACAUAUACCAUAUCAUUCUCAUUUGCUAUUUACAUAACAUCUUUAUCUUGUUAAUAAAAAGUUUACAUAUACCAAUCCUAAACCAUUAUCAGGUUAGGAUUCCCAAAAGAUAUUACCAUAAUGCUACCAAAAAGGGGGGUACAUUAACAUCCUACACAUACUAACACAUUUACAAUAUUUACAUAAUCAUAGGUACACAUGCCACAUAAAUCUCCAGACCGAUACUCAGAUAUCUUUAUCCCGCACUGGAACGAUGGAACGCACUCGCUCCUCCUCAGUGAUGGUCAUGCCUGGCUCGCGAGAUGGAGUACUUGGACUGUCCUAUCUCCUGAGGAUAAUUCCAAACAGCCGUCUGGACCCUCUCCAUGGAAUGAACAUACAAAAAACUCAUCAUUUCUUUCUGUCUCUUAUUACAUUCAUCCAGUCGACCCUCCAGAUGGUAAAUAUAUCCAUUAGAGGCUGUCAUAAUGUUCUCCAUCCCAUGACGUUCUUCAUGAAGUCCUUGAAUUUGUCCUUCCAGAUACUGGACCCUAUCUUCAGACACUUGAAGUCUAGCCAACAAUUCAUUAUUCUAAUCCAUCAAAUAAUGGACCAUUGCCCCGAGUUGUAUCGCUUCCUCCAUUUCAUUUUGUUGAGGUCCAACAUCUUACCCCUCAUUAAUUUCUUCCACUGGGUCUUCCUCCUCCUCUUCUACAGGCUCUGGGUCUAGAUCUAUCACCUGAGUUGGGACUAUAUAGGUGGUGGAGCGAUCUUCUCCUCAUUGAUGACUAGUUCUUCUUGAAUUUCUGCCAUCCUAUACACAAACAAAUAACUUGAUUAAUACAUAAUACAAGUUAUACAACAAAUAACAAAUAACAGUUAUUUUUAAAUUAUUUUCAUUUACAUUUUAAAAUGAACUUCCACAGUUCAUCUCUUUUCAACUCUAUAUGAGUUAUUUAUUUCAUGUCUGUCUCACUAACUUAAAGUUAUAACCCAAGGUUCCCAUCCUAAAGCUUCUAACUUAAAACUUUGAUACCAACUUACGACGCCCCCAAAUUCGGGUACCUGAAACCCUUAUUCAGUGAUUCACGAUAUCAAACAUUCAACAUAUAAUAAACUUAAACUUAGUAAAGUUAUUACAUCAAAGUUCUACUAAUCCCAGGUACGUAGACCUUUAAAUGCUUAUUACAUGAUAAUUUAAUAUUUAUAAACAUGUAAACUAUCUAUUACAUCAACUCUCAGCUAUUCUGUUUUUUUCCCUUUCCCCUUGUCCUUUCCAAACCCUUCUGCCCGAGUCUGCUCAGCUAAAAACAUUUAUAAUAAAACAAGUAUGAGCAUUUAAUUGCUCAGCAAGUAAUAUCAUUUUUUAAGGCUUAACAAGAAAUAAAUGUUUUCUUUGAAGCAUGCUUUGACAGUGAAUCAAAACUGUAAAGCCAUAAAUCUUGAAUCAUUCACAUUUUUGAAAUAUCAUAACAAUAUUGAAUAACUGAGAGGUUUUAAGACCAUGAACAUAUUUUUUUUCUUUUCUUGAAAAGGUUCAAUAAAUUUUUUUAUCUGUGAACCGUCUUAUCUUACGAGCACGUAGGGUGAUCAACCCUUUAUGGCCUGUAUUGAUCAAUACUAUCUUAUUCAGAAUAAUUUUCAUGUUCUACGUCACCACUCCCAAAGUGCAAUAAAAAUAUCCCAUUUCAGGGUAUGUUCAUUCUCAGUUUAGAAUCCAAACUACAACAAUAUAGCUGGAUAGCUUAAAUCAUGGCACAAUAAUAUUUCAAGACUUAUUAUAAAAAAAUUGAAAUAUUUUACUUCUAUGUCUGGCUAGAAGGAAUGGCUCAGACUUCUUUGCAACCUACUCACGUAUAUUGAAUUUCAUUUGAUAUACAUGAAAAUACAUUACCCAAUCUUUUGAAGCUGAUUGGAAUAAAAAGGUUAUUCAACCUUAUAAUAUUCAUAAAUAAGAAAAGACAAUUUAGAAUUUAGAGAACCUGUCCACAUGAAUAAUCUCAGAAUAUUUGCUCAAUAAAGAGUAAGAUUUAGAUACUUGCCUUAUUUGUAGACUAUUGGUACAAUUUCAGUUUAACUUAUGUGUUCUCACAGAUCCUACACAAUUAUUUGCAUUCACAUACAUAUUAGCCAAUUAGCCAAGUCAUAUAACUUGUAUAUUCACAUAUCAUAGUCACACUGAUUAUGUUAUUAGUUUAUACUCCCAUACUUGAGAUAUUUCUUUACAUUUUUCAAAUAUCUCAUCCAUGUUUUUACAAUAGCUAUAUCUUUCUUUUGUAGGGUUUGACAUAAUUCCAAUUCAUGACCCUUAUAUGAUUUUAGUUAAUAUUUCUUUUCUAAGUUAUGCCAAGAUAGCUCUUUCGUAGUAUUAGCAACUCUUUGUGACACUAACUUAAACUUAGCUUAAAAGUUCCAAAUUAAAAGUCUAAUCAUGUUAAACGCCAUCUUAUAGACUACAAAUUCACUUCUAGUGAAUUACAUGUUUUAGGUGUAACUAAAACUUGUGUGAAUAAUUUAUAGCUCUAAUCAUUACUUGUAGUUUCAUUUUUGUAUACUAAGAUGUUAAACAUUCUUGUUUACUUUUAAGAGUGUUAAAACAGUCUCAACUUAACCCACCGUGUGGCAAUCAAGCUUUGCAUGGCCCAUGGGGCUUGGCUAGGCUUGGUGUGGCCUCAUGUGGCCCCGCGGCCCCAAAUUCAUAUCCGCCCAACAGUCCUUUACUAAGUUUAAUGGUUUACUUAGUUUAACAAGCUCCAUAUUUGUCACUUAUUAAUUUAUUUUUAUUUUUGUUUCUAUUCACAGCUAACUGUUGCUGCCAGUGGGCAGCAGCUCUUAACUUUUGACAUUAGGCUUGUUAGCUUUUAAUCUCCCAUAACUUUCUAUUACACUAAAUUUUGAGUCAUUAGAUAUGUGACACAACUCACUCAUGGAAGGGCAUAAUAGUUGAACAUCUCAAGCAACAUAGUUGUGUUGACUGAAGGUCUAAAGAAAGUCCCUAGUCUCCACCCAACUCAGCUACUGCUGUUAAUCGUUGCUGUUUUUUAGCAACAGUCCUUUACUUUGGGUGGUUAACUUCCCCACUUUUUGAUUAUUUAGGUUGAGUUUUCAAUACAAUAUAGGUUGUGCACACACAUCUUUAGGAGAUAUGUUAGCUAAACAUUUUAGGUAUUAUAUUACAAAGCAGAACCAUAAAUGGUUUCUUUCGCUGCUGUAGCAGCUACUUGCUACACGCCUCUGCUGGUUAUAGCUGCUGCCAGUGGGCAGCAGCUUUUUCUUUUAGUCCCUACCUUGAUGCACCUUAAUUCAUACAUUAUAUUUUUAACUCAAGUUGGCUGCCCACAUUUGCCAUGGUAGUGUGUUGUGGCUGCUUGAUGUUGCCCCAUGGCUGCAAUCCCUUUUCCUUAUGAUAGCAACAUAUAACCUAUAUAAACCCAAAACAUUAGCCUAUGUGAGCCAAAACCAAAAAAGGUAUUUAGCUUGACAACUAAGAGCUCAGAAAAGCUCAUGUUGUUGCUACCACUGUUGUUACUGCUACCACAAGCAGCCACCCUGUGCUCAACAUAGCUACUUUCCUAAUUUCUUACUUCUAACCGUUACGACCAAUUAUAUCCAUUAUGAGAUAUAUUGCACACAGCUUAUGGAAAUAUUUUUAGAAAUUAUAAAAUCUCUAUUUUAGUUUCAAUAAGUUCCCCAAAGCAGUUGGUAAAAGUAGCUUAAAACAUUGAAUUUCAAAUCUUUCGUUUUGGCUAGAAAUUGAAUUUCGUUAUAAGCUAGUAAGCUUAAACUCUCUAAUUAUUAUUAGAUCUGUUAACUAAACCAGGCCCAUGCUUUACUUGGUUCAAAUAUUCAGUUUUUAACCAAAAAGUUCUUUUAGAACUUUUAUUGAACAGGUGAUGGGCAUAGUUUUAAGCUACAAAUUUCUCAGCCAUUGGUUUACAUCAUAAAUCCAUAUCACCAUCCUUAUGUCUCCUCAACCCAACCUAAACUCCUCUAGCUAUAUAUCAAACAAUAGCUGUCCAAAACAUUAACGAAACAUGAAGAUUCAAGCAAUUAUUAAAUUAAAAAAACUAACUGUUCUGUUCUAAUGCUCAAUGGCCCAUCCUGCUUGAACAGUUAGAACAACAAUAAGCAACUAGUUGGUUUAUUUACUUAAUGCAAGCACUUCCUAAUUUUAACUUAUGCAAACCAAAAUAAUAAUACUUUCCAUGCAUAUCAUAAUAACCAUGAUCUCACAGUUUUCAUUUCAAUUUGUGAAACCCCACUAGCUAAUUCACUUUACCAGAAUCUUUAUAUUAAACACAUAAUAAGAAUAAGGUGUAAUACCUUUGUUCUGCUUGCUUUGAUUUCUUGUUAUCUGCUAAUCUUAAACUUCACUGCUAACACGAAAAUCAAAGCUUCAACUAUUAUUCCUUUUUCCUUUUAUUAACCGAGCAAUUUACUGGAGCAAAGCUUGGAGUUGUGUGAUAUAACUAGAAAGAAAAACACUGGUCGGAGUAUGGGAAGGGAAGAGUAGAAGAAAACUGAGCUUUUAGCAGGAUUACCCUCCCUAGCUUCGCUUGGUGUUAUGCCUAUUAAAAUAAUGGCGUGACACGUCUAAUGCCGACUCUGCUCUUGGUUUAAGGUAAUGCCUCCAGCUCAUGCUCUAAUAUCUCAGUUCAAACACUAAGGCCUG
RNAcentral lists this long non-coding RNA (4737 nucleotides) under Panax ginseng (ginseng). Its description in RNAcentral is "long non-coding RNA (PGIN_LNC013295)". Lineage: Eukaryota; Viridiplantae; Streptophyta; Magnoliopsida; Apiales; Araliaceae. The record is from RNAcentral.